RNAcentral lists this ribosomal RNA (449 nucleotides) under Staphylococcus gallinarum. Its description in RNAcentral is "bacterial SSU rRNA". It matches the Rfam family "Bacterial small subunit ribosomal RNA", at positions 39 to 471 of the family's 1533-position model. Lineage: Bacteria; Bacillati; Bacillota; Bacilli; Caryophanales; Staphylococcaceae. The record is from RNAcentral.
GCGGCGUGCCUAAUACAUGCAAGUCGAGCGAACAGAUAAGGAGCUUGCUCCUUUGACGUUAGCGGCGGACGGGUGAGUAACACGUGGGUAACCUACCUAUAAGACUGGAAUAACUCCGGGAAACCGGGGCUAAUGCCGGAUAACAUAUAGAACCGCAUGGUUCUAUAGUGAAAGAUGGUUUUGCUAUCACUUAUAGAUGGACCCGCGCCGUAUUAGCUAGUUGGUAAGGUAAUGGCUUACCAAGGCGACGAUACGUAGCCGACCUGAGAGGGUGAUCGGCCACACUGGAACUGAGACACGGUCCAGACUCCUACGGGAGGCAGCAGUAGGGAAUCUUCCGCAAUGGGCGAAAGCCUGACGGAGCAACGCCGCGUGAGUGAUGAAGGGUUUCGGCUCGUAAAACUCUGUUAUUAGGGAAGAACAUAUGUGUAAGUAACUGUGCACAUCUG